This 204-nucleotide ribosomal RNA is filed under the name uncultured Pelotomaculum sp. Its description in RNAcentral is "partial 16S ribosomal RNA". It matches the Rfam family "Bacterial small subunit ribosomal RNA", at positions 1179 to 1382 of the family's 1533-position model. The record is from RNAcentral. Lineage: Bacteria; Bacillati; Bacillota; Clostridia; Eubacteriales; Desulfotomaculaceae.
AUGACGUCAAAUCAUCAUGCCCCUUAUGUUCUGGGCUACACACGUGCUACAAUGGCCGGUACAGACGGAGGCGAAGCCGCGAGGCGGAGCAAAUCCGAAAAAGCCGGUCUCAGUUCGGAUUGCAGGCUGCAAUUCGCCUGCAUGAAGUCGGAAUCGCUAGUAAUCGCAGGUCAGCAUACUGCGGUCGAAUACGUUCCGGGCCUU